AUGAAGUUAUGUUGUGCUUUUACAGAUGUCUUACUGUUCUGUCAGAAAAGAAUCUUUGGAGAAGAAGUGGAGAUGAAAGUCAGACCAGGAGACAACAUCACUCUCUACUGUGAUCGCUCUGUAACCCUUGGUUCCAAAAUUGUAUGGAUAAGAAACUGCUCUCAUGAAAAUCAGCCUUCUCUCAUAAUAGAUUAUAAGAAACUGUACCUGGAGAUAUUUCAGCGAUUCAGCUUUAUCCACAACCCUUACAGUAAAUCCUACGAUUUACAUAUUACUAACAUCAGUGUCUCUGAUCUGGGACUGUACUACUGUGCAAAACUAGAGAAUAAUAUAAGGAAAGAUGCAAAAGGCAUCAUUUUCUCAUCAGAAGUGUACUAUUAUGGAAACCAAACUCGUCUCUCUCUGAAAGUUGAGCAAGUAUCUUCCUGUUCUGGACCCUUGAAUACUACCUCAAUACCACCUCCUGUAUCAGACUGUGUGCUCUGCUGGACGCUGCUGUUCAGUGUGUGUCCAGUGUGUGUUCUCCUUUCCUCCAUCUGUGUGUACUGUGUCUGUUGUAAGAAAACUACAGAUGCUGUGACAGAUCAGAAAGACAAGUUAAAAGGUAGAAACAGAGCUGAGUGCAUGGAUGAAGAGGUGUGUUAUGCAUCUUUAGAUGUGACCAUCAAGAGACAAAAACAAUGCAAGAAAAAGCGAGUGCAGAGUUCUGACUUCAGUACUUACGCUCAGGUCAGAACACAGACUGAAUAGACGUAAACAGAACAGAGGUGGAUUCUGAAACUUUCCAAAUAUAAGGAAAUCUGCAGGUUUUAUUGUCAUGUAACAUCACAUGUAAUCGUACAAGGUAGAGGACUUUUUAUUAUUACAUUUGAAAGUAAAAUAUAUGUAAUUACAUACUUGGAUACCUUUUACAUUGAUAUUUUUAUGAGCUAAAAAAUUCUAACCUGAAUUGUUACUCUGGUACUCAUUUUUUUCCCACCUCUAAUAGAAGUGUGUUAGUACAGUCUUUGUGGAAACACAGUGAUGAUCUGAAUAACAGGAUGUGCAAGUAGGUUACCUUUGUGAAGUGGUGUUUAGUUUAAGGUGUGUAUAUUUUUCUUAAACUGAAUGACUGCAACAUCUAUCUAACUCAUUUUUACAAUUAGCCCAGUUUCUCCAAAACACACUAUAUGCUGAGUAGGAUAGCGUGUUUGGAUAACAGCUUGUGACAAUCAAAUAGCAGGCAGUAUUAAAACUAUCUUAAUACUAUAAAGAAAAAAGAUGCCCACAUUAGUUACUCCUCAGUAGUAAUAUACAUUCUUUGUUUUUAUUUUUAUUACUUUCCUUCAGACUGAUGCAUGUUAGAUCUGCCUGUUUACUAACUGAGCAUUUGAUUUUGUUGAACAGUUAAAAUCAAAUUAAAAUCAAAGUAAAUUUGAAUAAAAUAUUCAAAGCAUCAGAGUUUCUUUUCAAAGGGGUUUCCAUUCAGUUUAGUGCUUGUGUGCUUAUGAGAGAAAUAGGAAAAGAAAUAGGUAGGACCCCAGUCAGCAAAUAAAUCUGGCAUUCAUCCAGCACUGGCAUACAGCAUGUGGGCCAAACAUGGCCCGGGUUUGGCAGAGAUGGCACUGGGUUAAAGACGGCACCCAAGACAUGGACCAGAUAUCAAAUGGAGUAUAUUUGGCCCAGAUGUCAAAUACAGAUAUGUUGGUCAUAUUUGUAUGGCCGAUCUUGACCCACAUUUAAAACCCAUUUCAAAUAUUUUUGAGUAAAAUCCCAAUGUUUUCCCAUACAGAAAGGUAAUAUAUUCGCAUAUAUGUGAAACACUGUAAAAUAUAUUGAAAUACAUUUUGAAAAUAUAUUUUUAAAAUGCAUAACAUAAAUCUCAUGUUGCGUAUUUAUGUGUGUUUACAUGUGAAAUUAUAUUCAUGCCUCAUAUAUGAUAGGCUAUUAUAUGAUGUAUGCUAUUAUAUCUUAUAUCGUAGAAUAGUAUAUCCUGUUAUUAUAUAUAUAUAUAUAUAUAUAUAUAUAUAUAUAUAUAUAUAUAUGUGUGUGUGUGUGUGUGUGUGUAAAUAAAACUGACUUCAAACAAUGUUUUGUAUUCACUGCUUUCAUAUUCUCAUUCAGUUUACAGUUUGAUGUAGCCCUAUCCCCUUAAACAAUACAUGAUGAAGUUUCAGGACAUUUUAUUUGACUUUAUGUACACACAAACAAAUUUGGCCCAGAUUUUGCACA
Long non-coding RNA from Cyprinus carpio carpio, 2211 nucleotides. The record is from Ensembl. NCBI's taxonomy places the organism in Eukaryota, Metazoa, Chordata, Actinopteri, Cypriniformes, Cyprinidae.